This 254-nucleotide ribosomal RNA is filed under the name uncultured bacterium. Its description in RNAcentral is "partial 16S ribosomal RNA". It matches the Rfam family "Bacterial small subunit ribosomal RNA", at positions 524 to 776 of the family's 1533-position model. The record is from RNAcentral.
UACGGGGGGAGCAAGCGUUGUUCGGAUUUACUGGGCGUAAAGGGCGCGUAGGCGGUCGUGACAAGUCACUUGUGAAAUCUCCGGGCUUAACUCGGAACGGUCAAGUGAUACUGUCGGACUAGAGUACAGAAGGGGCAACUGGAAUUCUCGGUGUAGCGGUGAAAUGCGUAGAUAUCGAGAGGAACACCGGUGGCGAAGGCGGGUUGCUGGGCUGACACUGACGCUGAGGCGCGAAAGCUAGGGUAGCAAACGGG